This 459-nucleotide ribosomal RNA is filed under the name uncultured bacterium. Its description in RNAcentral is "partial 16S ribosomal RNA". It matches the Rfam family "Bacterial small subunit ribosomal RNA", at positions 338 to 795 of the family's 1533-position model. The record is from RNAcentral.
CCUACGGGAGGCAGCAGUGAGGAAUAUUGGUCAAUGGGCGGGAGCCUGAACCAGCCAAGUCGCGUGAGGGAAGAAGGUCCUAUGGAUCGUAAACCUCUUUUGUCGGGGAGCAAAGGCCGGCACGCGUGGCGGUCCGAGAGUACCCGAAGAAAAAGCAUCGGCUAACUCCGUGCCAGCAGCCGCGGUAAUACGGAGGAUGCGAGCGGUAUCCGGAUUUAUUGGGGUUAAAGGGUGCGCAGGCGGAAGAUGAAGUCAGCGGUCAAAGGGAGAGGCUCAACCCCGUCGAGCCGUUGAAACUGGGGGCCUUGAGUUGGCGAGAAGUAGGCGGAAUGCGUGGUGUAGCGGUGAAAUGCAUAGAUAUCACGCAGAACUCCGAUUGCGAAGGCAGCAUACCGGCGCCCAACUGACGCUGAUGCACGAAAGUGGGGGUAUCGAACAGGAUUAGAUACCCGUGUAGUC